UAAUCUUAUUCACACAAGGUAUAGUAUCCCAUAUUUUCUUCAGAUCAACAAAAAAAAAAUUGGUUUUGUUUUAACUCAGUCUUUGUGGCAAUGUAUUUAUUUGUGCCACUGUGUAGAAUUUUCUGUAUUAGAGUUGUGUAAAUUGUACACAGAACAAGGACUUUGGAGCCAAACAUUUUUUCUGUGAACAACAUGUCUCCAAUUAAUUCCCCGCAACUGCCAUUUUAUUUCUAAUUUUUAUUGUAUACAUACAUUGCUGAUAAAAUCUCAUGCUAUUCAUUCAGCAGUUGCUCAUGCAAAGAUUUAUCAUGCUUUUAGAAAAUCUGUUCACAUUUUUUAACUUAACUGCCUCAUAAGGGAGCUAUGAAAAAUACUUUAAUGGUGAUGCAUAGUAAGGUGUGUUCAUUAACUGUCUCGUAUAAUUUGAUUGGGGAUUUCCGUUUCUCAAUUUAUAAAUUACGAUACAGUGCUGAGGAAUUUAGUAUGUGGAAAUGAAGUCUUAUUAUCAUGUUGAUUUGAUGGCUGAUCUUAUGGCAGAAAUUCUAAAGCCAAUGGUUGAGUGCUGUACAGGAAUCUUUGAAGGAGAGAAAAAUAACAAACUAACAUUUUUAUAAUCAUUAACUUGCCAAAGUUGAUUUUAAACCCCUUACUUUUAGCCAGAGCUAGUAACAUGCCAAAUCCUUUUAAAAAUCCAAAUUUUGUGAUGGCCCACUCCAGCCAUUCUGAAAUUGAAAGCAUUCCUAUUAGCAGAACCACCCCAGUGGCAGCACAGACUUGUAGUGGAUAAGCAUCCUGGUUGUCUCCAUUAAUCAAGUGACAGAGUUGAAUGUUUUACACUGUGAGAAAUUGUAGUCUACUUUUUGGAUAAUAUUAAGAUCAGAUUGUUGGCCCUUGUGGUGGCUUAACUGUGUCUGGGAAGAACAAACUCAACCAGAGAAAACUGCAUUUCAGCCAGUUUUACUUAGGGGCUGUCUGCAUAUGGAAAUUUACCAACAUAAUUAUACUUCCAUAGUUAUACUGGCAUAAUUCCCCAUGUGGACACCCUUAUUCCAGCAUAAGUGUGGCUUUGUCUAGUUUAGCUUGCGUCACUUUGAAAAUGGUAUAAACUAAACUGGAAAAGGACACUUAUUCUGGAAUUAGAGUGGGGACUUUGGGCUUUUAUACAUUUAAAACACUACAGUGUAGACGUUGCCUACUCCAGUGAGAGGGAUUCUCCUGUCAGUGUAGGUAAUCCACCUCCUUGAAGAAUGGUAACUAGGUUGUUGGAAGAAUUCUUCCGAUGACCUAGUGCUGUCUACACAGGGACUUAGGUCGGCUUAAUUAUACUGCUCGGGUGUGUGGAUUUUUUCUAGUAUACCUGCUGGUCUACACUAGUAUAACUAUAGUGAAAUAAGUAUGUCAGUAAAUUUCCAUGUGCAGGCAAGCUCUUACUAAGAUUAUGUUGUGUUUGGGAAUCUUUGGGUUCUUGCCAAUAGAAUUUUCUCUAUUCUCUCACUCCUAUUUAAUAUGUAUACAUAGGCCUUAUUGAGAAAAUAGGGGUUGCUUGUUGAAUAAUAUAAGUCUUUGUAGUCUCCAAAGAAAUGAAAUCAAAUAUUCCUUGGGAAUUAUCAUUGUUUAUGGCCUCUGCAAAGUGCUACAAUGGAUAAAAGUAGAGAUGGGGGGAGAGAAAGAAGGCUUGCAUAUAAAUAUAUACUUACUUCCUAUUUCAGUAUAAUGGGCCGUUCUCUUUAUACUUUGCCCUUUGUCCUCUUAUAUAUGGAUAAAAUUUGGUGUUAAUAAAUCACAGGAUCCUAGUAACUGCCAUGCUAGAUCAUACCAUUGGUUUAGCUAAUCAGGCAUCCUGCUUCCAGGAGUGAUUCAUGGUAAUUUAUUAAGCAUCAUGUUGGCUUUCUUUGUAGUGAAUAUUACUGUAUGUGUGUGAUUGUUUAAUGACUUCCUUUUAUUAAACAAGGAUAAUUACUAUAACAAAAUCCAUGCAUAGUUUGUAAACACCUAAAAAUAAAUUGACAAUUACUAUGCCCUUCCUUUGAACAAUUGUUGCUAAUUAUUUUAACAUAUGGGAUGGGAGGUAAUUGGCCAAAAAGUGUUUUAUGUAAGAGUACUGGUGCAUGAAAAGAAUUCUAAAAUGGAUGUGAUCUAAUUAUUGGUUACUUCUUAUUUUCAUCUCUAUUCAUGCUGUUUGAAUUAAGCUUGUUCUCAAUUAAGUGAAUUCAGUAGCUUGAGAAUCCCCUAAAUACUGUUCAGAUCUAUGAACCAUGUUGUGUCCUCCUUUCAUAUGGAUGAUGUGGUUCCAAGGGCUAAGUUCUCCCUUGCACAAAAAUACCUUGUGUAUGCAUGAAGAAGGUCCAUAAGUUUCAACAUGCAAAGGUUGAGGUUUUUUCCUCAGCAUUCCACCAUCAGGAUGAAUAGGGCAGAUUUUUCCGUAUUAAACUAAUUGCUCGUGCUGGUGUUUAUUAAACCAGUUUCUGGUCUGAGAAUACCUCCACCACAUACAGCUACCUUCCCUUUCUCCCUGGCAGUACAGUGCAUCAGAUGCCUGUACCUCUCUGUCCUCCACAAUAGCAGCUGCAGAGGAGAUUUCUGGUAAGCUAAUUUUCUUGGAGCAACAUUAAUGCUUGGAGUUUGUCUUCACUUAAAAUGCUUACAGCAGCACAGCUGAAGCAUUGAAGCUCACCACUGUAGCACUUCAGUGUAUUCACUACCUACACUGACAGGAGGGGUCAGGAUAAGUAAUCCACCUCCCCAAGAGGUGGUAGCUAGGUUGACAGAAAAAUUCUUCCGUUGAUCUAACACUGCCUGCACUGGCUCAAUCUAACUUUUUAGUGCAGACCAGAACUUGAUCAGUAUCUAUAGUGCCUGAAAGGGAGCAGCCCACAGGGAAGGUAACUCAUUGACUACACCGACCCUGUAAUCUUUGCAGAGUCUGAUACAAUGGAGUGCUUACCAAGAGGGUCUUAUGAAGGAUUUGGGGGCUGAGUGGAAGCAUGCUGUGGAUUAGACAUGUCCUGACAGGCCUAGAAGGUUGGGGUGGAAAUUGUCUGUAUGUAGCUAUGACCUCAGAUUUGAUUGUCCAACAACAAAAAGUGAUAGUCUACAUUUUCAUGCUGUGGGGUCAUUCUUCUGUGGAGCAAUUCUUUCAGAGUACCUACACCAGACAUCUACCCCAAGGAGGCACCAGCAAUUAGCUUGACUGCCUCUCCCUAUUACUGAGCCAGGUUCCAGACAUCUACUGAUGGCUUCUUUCAUAUUGGCCAAAAACAUAUCUGCUCCCAAGUCUGACAAGUAGACUCCCCGGCGGAGAAAUUACAAGCCCCUCUGUGCCAUCUAUGAAUUUGGCUACCUUCCUAUUCAUAUCCCAUGGGUAUUCAACUGCUUUGGAUGGAUGGAAGAUUGAACUGACAUUGCCUGAAAUUAAUGUGGCUGUUCUUGUUUAAUCAUUUUAGCAUAUAUAGAGUUACCUUACCUUUAGAAAACAUCCUUGUAUGUGUACUAGCAGAAGAGUUGAUAACAAUACAUCAUCCUUUCUGUCAUCGAAGCUCAUAACUUGGGUGUCAGCUUCAUCUCCUGCCUCUCAUUCCCCCAUAGGCAUUGAGACCAUUUUCUAGUCCUUUGUGCCAUGAUCCUGCAAAGACUGUAGCAUGAGCAUAAUUUUACAAACAUGACUAGUCCCAUAGACUUCAAUGGAAUUACUGUUAUAUGUAACAUUAUGCACAUGCUUAAUUCUUUACAGGAUGGAGGCCUUCUUGGAUAAAGUUCCUAAUCCGUUUGCCCCAGCAGUGAUGCCAGUCUUGACGCUCCCUUUGUCUUUUUUUUAUAUCAACAGCUCCACUCUUUUCAUUGAGAGAGGGAGACCUUUUUGCAUAGAAUGCCUGCCCUACCUCAUUUAAAUCCCCAUAAUAACUUAGUCAAGAGCAUCCAAUGUUGCAUGUCUGUCUUUCAGUUUUUAUAUUCAUUUUAAAACUUCAAAACGUUAACUGAUCUCAUUUAUGUUACAUUUAACUUGCCCAAGAUGACACAUUAAGUUGUAGACCUGUGAUUUGAAACUAAGUCUUCUGACUGCUAGUCCUGUGCUCAAUUUGCUAGUUGUCCCUGCAGUAAAAAAUUAUUUGCAAAAAACCGA
Long non-coding RNA from Dermochelys coriacea (leatherback sea turtle), 4120 nucleotides. RefSeq lists it as uncharacterized. The transcript has 2 exons. Lineage: Eukaryota; Metazoa; Chordata; Testudines; Dermochelyidae. The record is from RefSeq and is a predicted model, not a curated record.